RNAcentral lists this long non-coding RNA (228 nucleotides) under Drosophila guanche. The record is from RNAcentral. Lineage: Eukaryota; Metazoa; Arthropoda; Insecta; Diptera; Drosophilidae.
GGGGUAUAUGUCUAUUGCCAGUGCUGGGAAAAGUACUAGAGGGAAUCAUGGUGAAUCGUCUGAACGACACCAUACCGGAUGGCUGCAUAUGGCAGUUUGGAUUUCGAGAAGGACGCUGUGUAGAGGAUGCUUGGAGGCACGUCGUGAGCACGGUUUCAGCCAGCCGGGCGAAAUACGUGCACGGAAUCUUCGUGGAUUUUAAGGGAGCCUUCGACAACGUCAAGUGGA